UCAAGAAGUAUAGAGGAAUGGGUUCACUAGAAGCUAUGACUAAAGGAAGUGAUCAAAGAUAUUUGGGUGACACUGCAAAACUAAAAAUUGCUCAGGGGGUUGUUGGAGCUGUUAAAGAUAACUAGAUAAGGGUUCUGUUUUGAAGUUCCUACCAUACACCAUGCAAGCUGUCAAGCAAGGGUUUUAAGAUAUCAGUGCUCACUCUCUGCAGUCUGCUCAUGACCUCCUCAGAUCCAAGGUGUUAAGGCUAGAGGUCCGGAGUGGAGCAGCGCAGGUUGAAGGUGGAAUCUAUGGUCUGGUUUCUUAUGAAAAGAAAUAUUUUUGAAGUAUGAAACCAUCCAAAAUGGUUGUAAGCCGUGGUAUAAAUUAUUGUUGUAAGUUUAAAAAAGGGCAUAAAAUGUUACUCGGGCAGUCACAAGUUGCUGCCAAUGAUGUUAUUAGAAGUCGAAACAUUGUGGAUGAUGGUGGCCACACACCAUGAUUUUAUGAGAUAAAUCCUAGUUAUUUUUAAAUUUUUCUUCA
Molecule: non-coding RNA, 522 nt
Organism: Arachis ipaensis
Lineage: Eukaryota; Viridiplantae; Streptophyta; Magnoliopsida; Fabales; Fabaceae
Source: RefSeq, a predicted model, not a curated record